AUUGAACGCUGGCGGCAUGCCUUACACAUGCAAGUCGAACGGUAACAGGUCUUCGGAUGCUGACGAGUGGCGAACGGGUGAGUAAUACAUCGGAACGUGCCCGAUCGUGGGGGAUAACGAGGCGAAAGCUUUGCUAAUACCGCAUACGAUCUACGGAUGAAAGCGGGGGAUCUUCGGACCUCGCGCGGCCGGAGCGGCCGAUGGCAGAUUAGGUAGUUGGUGGGAUAAAAGCUUACCAAGCCGACGAUCUGUAGCUGGUCUGAGAGGAUGAUCAGCCACACUGGGACUGAGACACGGCCCAGACUCCUACGGGAGGCAGCAGUGGGGAAUUUUGGACAAUGGGCGAAAGCCUGAUCCAGCCAUGCCGCGUGCAGGAUGAAGGCCUUUGGGUUGUAAACUGCUUUUGUACGGAACGAAAAGCCUCUUUCUAAUAAAGAGGGGUCAUGACGGUACCGUAAGAAUAAGCACCGGCUAACUACGUG
Molecule: ribosomal RNA, 482 nt
Filed under: uncultured bacterium
Lineage: Bacteria
Description: partial 16S ribosomal RNA
Rfam family: Bacterial small subunit ribosomal RNA
Source: RNAcentral